AGAUUAAGUUAUUAAGGGCGCACGGUGGAUGCCUUGGCACUAGAAGCCGAAGAAGGACGUUACUAACGACGAUAUGCUUUGGGUAGCUGUAAGUAAGCGUUGAUCCAGAGAUUUCCGAAUGGGGGAACCCAACAUGAGUGAUGUCAUGUUAUCGACAUGUGAAUUCAUAGCAUGUCAGAAGGCAGACCCGGAGAACUGAAACAUCUUAGUACCCGGAGGAAGAGAAAGAAAAAUCGAUUCCCUGAGUAGCGGCGAGCGAAACGGGAAGAGCCCAAACCAACAAGCUUGCUUGUUGGGGUUGUAGGACACUCUAUACGGAGUUACAAAAGAACAUGUUAGACGAAUCAUCUGGAAAGAUGAAUCAAAGAAGGUAAAAAUCCUGUAGUCGAAAACAUAUUCUCUCUUGAGUGGAUCCUGAGUACGACGGAGCACGUGAAAUUCCGUCGGAAUCUAGGAGGACCAUCUCCUAAGGCUAAAUACUCUCUAGUGACCGAUAGUGAACCAGUACCGUGAGGGAAAGGUGAAAAGUACCCCGGAAGGGGAGUGAAAGAGAACUUGAAACCGUGUGCUUACAAGUAGUCAGAGCCCGUUAAUGGGUGAUGGCGUGCCUUUUGUAGAAUGAACCGGCGAGUUACGAUCUGAUGCAAGGUUAAGCAGCAAAUGUGGAGCCGUAGCGAAAGCGAGUCUGAAUAGGGCGUUGAGUAUUUGGUCGUAGACCCGAAACCAGGUGAUCUACCCUUGGUCAGGUUGAAGUUCAGGUAACACUGAAUGGAGGACCGAACCGACUUACGUUGAAAAGUGAGCGGAUGAACUGAGGGUAGCGGAGAAAUUCCAAUCGAACUUGGAGAUAGCUGGUUCUCUCCGAAAUAGCUUUAGGGCUAGCCUCAAGUGAUGAUUAUUGGAGGUAGAGCACUGUUUGGACGAGGGGCCCCUCUCGGGUUACCGAAUUCAGACAAACUCCGAAUGCCAAUCAAUUUAACUUGGGAGUCAGAACAUGGGUGAUAAGGUCCGUGUUCGAAAGGGAAACAGCCCAGACCACCAGCUAAGGUCCCAAAAUAUAUGUUAAGUGGAAAAGGAUGUGGCGUUGCCCAGACAACUAGGAUGUUGGCUUAGAAGCAGCCAUCAUUUAAAGAGUGCGUAAUAGCUCACUAGUCGAGUGACACUGCGCCGAAAAUGUACCGGGGCUAAACAUAUUACCGAAGCUGUGGAUUGUCCGUAGGACAAUGGUAGGAGAGCGUUCUAAGGGCGUUGAAGCAUGAUCGCAAGGACAUGUGGAGCGCUUAGAAGUGAGAAUGCCGGUGUGAGUAGCGAAAGACGGGUGAGAAUCCCGUCCACCGAUUGACUAAGGUUUCCAGAGGAAGGCUCGUCCGCUCUGGGUUAGUCGGGUCCUAAGCUGAGGCCGACAGGCGUAGGCGAUGGAUAACAGGUUGAUAUUCCUGUACCACCUAGUAUCGUUUUAAUCGAUGGGGGGACGCAGUAGGAUAGGCGAAGCGUGCUGUUGGAGUGCACGUCCAAGCAGUAAGGCUGAGUGUUAGGCAAAUCCGGCACUCGUAAGGCUGAGCUGUGAUGGGGAGAGGAAAUUGUUUCCUCGAGUCGUUGAUUUCACACUGCCGAGAAAAGCCUCUAGAUAGAUAACAGGUGCCCGUACCGCAAACCGACACAGGUAGUCAAGAUGAGAAUUCUAAGGUGAGCGAGCGAACUCUCGUUAAGGAACUCGGCAAAAUGACCCCGUAACUUCGGGAGAAGGGGUGCUCUUUAGGGUUCACGCCCAGAAGAGCCGCAGUGAAUAGGCCCAAGCGACUGUUUAUCAAAAACACAGGUCUCUGCUAAACCGUAAGGUGAUGUAUAGGGGCUGACGCCUGCCCGGUGCUGGAAGGUUAAGAGGAGUGGUUAGCUUCUGCGAAGCUACGAAUCGAAGCCCCAGUAAACGGCGGCCGUAACUAUAACGGUCCUAAGGUAGCGAAAUUCCUUGUCGGGUAAGUUCCGACCCGCACGAAAGGCGUAACGAUUUGGGCACUGUCUCAACGAGAGACUCGGUGAAAUCAUAGUACCUGUGAAGAUGCAGGUUACCCGCGACAGGACGGAAAGACCCCGUGGAGCUUUACUGUAGCCUGAUAUUGAAAUUCGGCACAGCUUGUACAGGAUAGGUAGGAGCCAUUGAAACGUGAGCGCUAGCUUACGUGGAGGCGUUGGUGGGAUACUACCCUAGCUGUGUUGGCUUUCUAACCCGCACCACUUAUCGUGGUGGGAGACAGUGUCAGGCGGGCAGUUUGACUGGGGCGGUCGCCUCCUAAAAGGUAACGGAGGCGCUCAAAGGUUCCCUCAGAAUGGUUGGAAAUCAUUCACAGAGUGUAAAGGCAUAAGGGAGCUUGACUGCGAGACCUACAAGUCGAGCAGGGUCGAAAGACGGACUUAGUGAUCCGGUGGUUCCGCAUGGAAGGGCCAUCGCUCAACGGAUAAAAGCUACCCCGGGGAUAACAGGCUUAUCUCCCCCAAGAGUUCACAUCGACGGGGAGGUUUGGCACCUCGAUGUCGGCUCAUCGCAUCCUGGGGCUGUAGUCGGUCCCAAGGGUUGGGCUGUUCGCCCAUUAAAGCGGUACGCGAGCUGGGUUCAGAACGUCGUGAGACAGUUCGGUCCCUAUCCGUCGUGGGCGUAGGAAAUUUGAGAGGAGCUGUCCUUAGUACGAGAGGACCGGGAUGGACAUACCUCUGGUGUACCAGUUGUCGUGCCAACGGCAUAGCUGGGUAGCUAUGUAUGGACGGGAUAAGUGCUGAAAGCAUCUAAGCAUGAAGCCCCCCUCAAGAUGAGAUUUCCCAACUUCGGUUAUAAGAUCCCUCGAAGAUGACGAGGUUAAUAGGUUCGAGGUGGAAGCGUGGCGACACGUGGAGCUGACGAAUACUAAUCGAUCGAAGACUUAAUCAAUUU
This 2926-nucleotide ribosomal RNA is filed under the name Staphylococcus caprae. RNAcentral describes it as "23S ribosomal RNA". It matches the Rfam family "Bacterial large subunit ribosomal RNA". Lineage: Bacteria; Bacillati; Bacillota; Bacilli; Caryophanales; Staphylococcaceae. The record is from RNAcentral.